This is a long non-coding RNA of Chrysoperla carnea, 386 nucleotides long. RefSeq lists it as uncharacterized. The record is from RefSeq and is a predicted model, not a curated record. NCBI's taxonomy places the organism in Eukaryota, Metazoa, Arthropoda, Insecta, Neuroptera, Chrysopidae. The transcript has 2 exons.
UUUGUUAUGAACCAUUUGAAUUUAAAAUUUUGAAAGAUGUAGUAAAUCCGGAAAUGUAUCAGUCAAUAGUUUAUGGGCCAACUUGCUGGGGUGAAGAUAUCGUUGAAAAAUCAGUUUAUUUACCACAAUUAAAAAUACAUGAUUGGUUAUAUUUAGAAAAUUUCGGCGCUUAUAAGCAAGUAUUAUUUACCAAAUUCAAUGGUUUCUCAAAGCCAAAAAUAUAUGCAAUUUGUAGCACAAAUAAAUGGAGUUUUUUUAAAUCCAGUUUUUCGAUUCGUGAAAAUAACAUUCAAGAACAUGGUACAUGUAUGAUUAUCAAUAGUUCUUAAGAAAUUUGUAUGCCACAUCAUUUUUAUUGUGAAUAAAAUUUUUAUCUUUAAAAAUUA